CACCACUCAAGCCUCGCUUGGUAUUGGGCGUCCGGGACCCCGGCGCCUCAAUUUCGUCGGCUGGCGAGUCUAGAUCUCAGCGUUGUGGCAAGCAAAUCCGCUGGCGAGACAGGCUCCCGCGCCGUUAAACCCCAAUCAAAA
RNAcentral lists this unclassified non-coding RNA (141 nucleotides) under uncultured Capnodiales. RNAcentral describes it as "sequence contains ITS2". Lineage: Eukaryota; Fungi; Ascomycota; Dothideomycetes; Capnodiales. The record is from RNAcentral.